UACGUAGGGAGCAAGCGUUGUCCGGAAUCAUUGGGCGUAAAGCGCGCGUAGGUGGCCAUGUAAGUCCGCUGUGAAAGUCAAAGGCUCAACCGUUUGAAAAGCCCGGGUGGAUACUGCACGGGCUAGAGUACGGAAGGGGCGAGUGGAAUUCCUCGGUGUAGCGGUGGAAUGCGCAGAUAUCAGGAGGAACACCAAUAGCGAAGGCAGCUCGCUGGGACGUUACUGACACUGGAGGCGACGAAAGCCGUGGGGAGCGAACAGG
RNAcentral lists this ribosomal RNA (262 nucleotides) under uncultured bacterium. RNAcentral's name for it is "partial 16S ribosomal RNA". It matches the Rfam family "Bacterial small subunit ribosomal RNA", at positions 524 to 776 of the family's 1533-position model. The record is from RNAcentral.